CCUACGGGGGGCAGCAGUGGGGGAUAUUGCACAAUGGGGGGAACCCUGAUGCAGCGACGCCGCGUGGGUGAAGGAGUGCUUCGGCAUGUAAAGCCCUAUCGGCAGGGAAGAAGCAAGACGGUACCUGACUAAGAAGCGCCGGCUAACUACGUACCAGCAGCCGCGGUAAUACGUCGGGGGCGAGCGUUAUCCGGAUUCACUGGGUGUAAAGGGGGCGUAGACGGCCAUGCAAGCCAGGGGUGAAAGCCCGGGGCCCAACCCCGGGACUGCCCUUGGAACUGUGCGGCUAGAGUGCGGGAGGGGCAGGCGGAAUUCCUGGUGUAGCGGUGAAAUGCGUAGAUAUCAGGAGGAACACCGGCGGCGAAGGCGGCCUGCUGGACCGCGACUGACGUUGAGGCUCGAAAGCGUGGGGAGCGAACAGGAUUAGAUACCCUUGUAGUC
Molecule: ribosomal RNA, 441 nt
Filed under: uncultured bacterium
Lineage: Bacteria
Description: partial 16S ribosomal RNA
Rfam family: Bacterial small subunit ribosomal RNA
Source: RNAcentral